GGGGAAGCUCCAAGCGUGGAGAGGAAUUUACCGACUGAGCUGGAGAGAUGAAGCCUGAAUCUAGUAAGGAGAUCCUCCAUGAAGACAACCUUCCCCAUGUGGAUGGGGCAUAUCUCUGGAUCAGUGGGUGAAUUCAUGCUUGACAGGCCUAAGAUCCUUUGGCUUCAACGUGUGGCAUUUCUUGUACUGGGCCUUGGAGUACUAUAGCUAAUCCAUGACUUGUUUGCACAUCACAAGAAACCUGGAUUAUUGAAAAUUCUGAAAUCAGCUGGAUUUGUACACCAUACAGUCCCUAUUAACAAAACAAUCUCCCGUAUGUUUAGUGCAAUUUUUGAACUCAUCUAAUAUAAACAAUACUAUGUUUGAUGGAUCAGAAUUUUCAAUAAAGCAGCUUUUUAUACA
Candoia aspera is the source of this 402-nucleotide long non-coding RNA. RefSeq lists it as uncharacterized. The transcript is spliced from 2 exons. Lineage: Eukaryota; Metazoa; Chordata; Lepidosauria; Squamata; Candoiidae. The record is from RefSeq and is a predicted model, not a curated record.